AAUAGAUACCCCGGUAGUCCACGCCCUAAACGAUGUCAACUGGUUGUUGGGUGGGUUUCUACUCAGUAACGUAGCUAACGCGUGAAGUUGACCGCCUGGGGAGUACGGCCGCAAGAUUGAAACUCAAAGGAAUUGACGGGAACCCGCACAAGCGGUGGAUGAUGUGGUUUAAUUCGAUGCAACGCGAAAAACCUUACCUACCCUUGACAUGCCAGGAAUGCCGCAGAGAUGUGGCAGUGCCCGAAAGGGAGCCUGGACACAGGUGCUGCAUGGCCGUCGUCAGCUCGUGUCGUGAGAUGUUGGGUUAAGUCCCGCAACGAGCGCAACCCUUGCCAUUAGUUGCUACGAAAGGGCACUCUAAUGGGACUGCCGGUGACAAACCGGAGGAAGGUGGGGAUGACGUCAGGUCCUCAUGGCCCUUAUGGGUAGGGCUACACACGUCAUACAAUGGCCGGUACAGAGGGCUGCCAACCCGCGAGGGGGAGCCAAUCCCAGAAAACCGGUCGUAGUCCGGAUCGCAGUCUGCAACUCGACUG
RNAcentral lists this ribosomal RNA (536 nucleotides) under uncultured bacterium. RNAcentral describes it as "bacterial SSU rRNA". It matches the Rfam family "Bacterial small subunit ribosomal RNA", at positions 777 to 1318 of the family's 1533-position model. The record is from RNAcentral.